This 68-nucleotide transfer RNA is filed under the name Callosciurus finlaysonii frandseni. Its description in RNAcentral is "tRNA-Phe". It matches the Rfam family "tRNA". Rfam says of the family: Transfer RNA (tRNA) molecules are approximately 80 nucleotides in length. Their secondary structure includes four short double-helical elements and three loops (D, anti-codon, and T loops). Further hydrogen bonds mediate the characteristic L-shaped molecular structure. tRNAs have two regions of fundamental functional importance: the anti-codon, which is responsible for specific mRNA codon recognition, and the 3' end, to which the tRNAs corresponding amino acid is attached (by aminoacyl-tRNA synthetases). tRNAs cope with the degeneracy of the genetic code in two manners: having more than one tRNA (with a specific anti-codon) for a particular amino acid; and 'wobble' base-pairing, i.e. permitting non-standard base-pairing at the 3rd anti-codon position. The record is from RNAcentral. Lineage: Eukaryota; Metazoa; Chordata; Mammalia; Rodentia; Sciuridae.
GUUAAUGUAGCUUAAAUAUAAAGCAAAGCACUGAAAAUGCUUAGACGGGUAUUUAUACCCCAUAAACA